Molecule: small nucleolar RNA, 90 nt
Filed under: Erythranthe guttata (spotted monkey flower)
Lineage: Eukaryota; Viridiplantae; Streptophyta; Magnoliopsida; Lamiales; Phrymaceae
Description: Mimulus guttatus (spotted monkey flower) Small nucleolar RNA Z221/R21b
Rfam family: Small nucleolar RNA Z221/R21b
About the family: Z221 is a member of the C/D class of snoRNA which contain the C (UGAUGA) and D (CUGA) box motifs. Most of the members of the box C/D family function in directing site-specific 2'-O-methylation of substrate RNAs.
Source: Rfam by way of RNAcentral
GGGCAGUGAUUGGAAAUGUCAUGCACCACUCUUACGAGAUGAUCCUCCCGUAUGAUGAUAAUGACUCAUACCCAUAUGAUUUCUGAGCCC